AGCAGCCGCGGUAAUUCCAGCUCCAAUAGCGUAUAUUAAAGUUGUUGCAGUUAAAAGCUCGUAGUUGAAUUUCGGGGUUAGUAGGUUGGUCAUGCCUCUGGUAUGUACUGGUCUCACUGAUUCCUCCUUCCUGAUGAGCCGUAAUGCCAUUAAUUUGGUGUUGCGGGGAAUUUGGACUGUUACUUUGAAAAAUUAGAGUGUUUAAAGCAAGCUAACGCUUGAAUACAUUAGCAUGGAAUAAUGAAAUAGGACGUUCGAUCCUAUUUUGUUGGUUUCUAGGAUUGACGUAAUGAUUAAUAGGGAUAGUUGGGGGCAUUAGUAUUCAAUUGUCAGAGGUGAAAUUCUUGGAUUUAUUGAAGACUAACUACUGCGAAAGCAUUUGCCAAGGAUGUUUUCAUUAAUCAAGAACGAAAGUUAGGGAUCGAAGACGAUCAGAUACCGUCGUAGUCUUAACCAUAAACUAUGCCGACUAGGGAUCGGAUGAUGUUAAUUUUUUAAUGACUCAUUCGGCGUCCG
This 516-nucleotide unclassified non-coding RNA is filed under the name uncultured Glomus. RNAcentral's name for it is "SSU rRNA". It matches the Rfam family "Eukaryotic small subunit ribosomal RNA", at positions 569 to 1089 of the family's 1831-position model. Lineage: Eukaryota; Fungi; Glomeromycota; Glomeromycetes; Glomerales; Glomeraceae. The record is from RNAcentral.